Molecule: ribosomal RNA, 252 nt
Filed under: uncultured bacterium
Lineage: Bacteria
Description: partial 16S ribosomal RNA
Rfam family: Bacterial small subunit ribosomal RNA
Source: RNAcentral
UACGUAGGUCCCGAGCGUUGUCCAGAUUUAUUGGGCGUAAAGCGAGCGCAGGUGGUUUAUUAAGUCUGGUGUAAAAGGCAGUGGCUCAACCAUUGUAUGCAUUGGAAACUGGUAGACUUGAGUGCAGGAGAGGAGAGUGGAAUUCCAUGUGUAGCGGUGAAAUGCGUAGAUAUAUGGAGGAACACCGGUGGCGAAAGCGGCUCUUUGGCCUGUAACUGACACUGAGGCUCAAAAGCGUGGGGAGCAAACAGG